RNAcentral lists this ribosomal RNA (1454 nucleotides) under uncultured Bordetella sp. Its description in RNAcentral is "partial 16S-23S ribosomal RNA intergenic spacer". It matches the Rfam family "Bacterial small subunit ribosomal RNA". Lineage: Bacteria; Pseudomonadati; Pseudomonadota; Betaproteobacteria; Burkholderiales; Alcaligenaceae. The record is from RNAcentral.
UCGAUCAUGGCUCAGAUUGAACGCUGGCGGGAUGCUUUACACAUACAAGUCGAACGGCGGCACGGACUUCGAUGCAGUGGCGAACAGGUGAGUAAUGUAUGGAACGUGCCUAGUAGCGGGGAUAACCAUGAAAGCGUAGCUAAUAUACGCCCUUCGAAGCCCGGAGACCUUCGGAGCUCGCACUAUUAGAGCGGCCGAUAUCGGAUUAGCUAGUUGGUGGGGUAACGGCUCACCAAGGCGACGAUCCGUAGCUGGUUUGAGAAGGACAACCAACCACACUGGGACUGAGACACGGCCCAGACUCCUACAGGAGGCAGCAGUGAAAUUUUGGACAAUGGGGAAACCCUGAUCCAGCCAUCCCGCGUGUGCGAUGAAGGCCUUCGGGUUGUAAAGCACUUUUGGCAGAAAGAAGCAGCGGGAUAAUACCCGUGCAACUGACAAUUACCUCACAGGAAUAGCACCGGCUAACCGGCCUUUAGCAGCCGCGAUGACCACGUAAGUGCAGGCGUUAAUCGGAAUUACAGGCGUAAAGCGUGCGCAGGCGGUUCGGAAAGAAGAUGUGAAAUCCCAGAGCUUAACUUCAGAACUGCAUUUUAACACACCGAGCUAAGAGAAUUAUGUGUCAGAGGAGGUGGAAUUCCGCGUGUAGCAGUGAAAUGCGUAGAUGUCGGAGGAACACCGAUGGCGAAGGCAGCCUCCUGGGAUAACACUGACGCUCAUGCACGAAAAGCGUGGGGAGCAAACAGGAUUAGAUACCCUGGUGAGUCCACACCCUAACGAUAUCAACUAGCUGUUGGGGCCUUCGGGCCUUGGUAGCGCAACUAACGCGUGAAGUUGACCGCCUGGGAGAUACAGUCGCGGAUUAAAAACUCGAAAAUUUGACGGGGACCCACACAAGCAGUGGAUGAUGUGGAUUAAUUCGAUGCAACGCGAAAAACCUUACCUACCCUUGACAUGUCUGGAAUCCCGAAGAGAUUUGGGUGUAACUCGCAAAACCGGAAGACACAGGUGCUGCAUGGCUGUCGUCAGCUCGUGUCGUGAGAUGUUGGGUUAAGUCCCGCAACGAGCGCAACCCUUGUCAUUAGUUGCUACGAAGGGCACUCUAAUGAGACUGCCGGUGACAAACCGGAGGAAGGUGGGGAUGACGUCAAGUCCUCGCGGCCCUUAUGGUGAGGCCACGUCCUUAAUGGUCGGGACAGAGGGUCGCCAACCCGCGAGGGAGCAAUCCCCGAAACCCAGUGUGGUCGGAUCGCAGUCUGCAACUCGACUGCGUGAAGUCAGAAUCCGCUAGUAAUCGCGGAUCAGCAUGUCGCGGUGAAUACGUUCCCGGGUCUUGUACACACCGCCCGUCACACCAUGGGAAUUAGGUUUUACCGAAGUAGUUGGCCUAACCCGUAAGGAGGGCGAUUACCACGGUAGGAUUAACAAGCUGGGGUGAAGUCGUAACAAGGUAG